CCCCUAGACGUUCUGGGCUGCACGCGCGCUACAAUAAUACGCACAGCGAGUAUCACCGAGCUCGAAAGGGAAAGGUAAACAAUAGAAAAGGUACUGUAAUGGUUAUAGAUCCUUGUAAUUAUUGAUCUUCAACGAGGAAUUCCUAGUAAGUAUGUGUCAUCAUCACGCACUGAUUACGUCCCUGCCCUUUGUACACACCGCCCGUCGCUCCUACCGAUUGGGUGAGCCGAUGAAACUCUCGGAUGUAGGCUAUUCAUAGCCCGCAGAAGAGAUUUGAAUCGUAGCGCUUAGAGGAAGGAGAAGUCGUAACA
RNAcentral lists this ribosomal RNA (311 nucleotides) under uncultured eukaryote. Its description in RNAcentral is "partial 18S ribosomal RNA". It matches the Rfam family "Eukaryotic small subunit ribosomal RNA", at positions 1470 to 1796 of the family's 1831-position model. The record is from RNAcentral.